GAGCCCUCAAGCCAAGGGUCACCACGUCCAGCUUCACGUACUGAGACUGCUGCUCGUUGAACAACACCUGAAUGGACAGAGAAGAUGAUCUCUCAUGAACAGAUUUUCUCCAGACUUCUGUCAGCCUGACAAGGAGGAAGGCCUGGAUACUUGAGAUUACCCAAAACCUGAUACCCAGCUCUCCAAAAACAUGAUUCAUACAUCUACACUAUGACUGCUCGAGCUAAAUAAAGCUUGCUUCUAGCUUUGCAUGCAGACUUUUUUAAUUCACCCUACUAUCCAACCAUCCAUGCAUUUUCUUCCACCUAUCCAAUUCAGAGUCACAGGGGGGCUGGAGCCUAAUUCACCAGACUAAAAGUAAGAAAUGUAUUUUUAUAGGUGUGAUGCUUUAACCUGGAUCUCUGUUUUAUUUAAGAUGUUUUCAGCUGGAUUCAUCUUUCUCAGAAUCGUCAGUGUUUGAACUUUGUCUUAACCAUCCCAUGAACCCGUUUCAGUUUACUUUAAUUUCACUUUAAAUUAUUACCCAACCAUUGAAAUUGAAAUUGUUUUUUGAAAUUAAGUUGGCAGGAUAAAAAUAUGGAAUUUUGUGAAAUAAUAUAAAGAUACCUAAUCAACUUUAAAGCUGCAUUUAUACCUUUGGGACAAAACAUUUUCAUUUUGACUCUGUUUUGGUCUUUUCCAUAGACUGUAUAUAAAAGAUGGAUGUGCCCAUUGCAAACACAAAGUAUGACACAGUAUGUUGUUUCAGAGGAAGUCAGGUUAAAGGGAAGUCAUAUAAUGAAUUACUUCAUUAUAUGACUUUGUAAAAAAAAAAGUUAAAAAAAAGAUGAAUUUAUGUCAUCAGUCACCAGCAGAUGACAAAGACUUUGAUUUUUUUGAUUUGUUUCCUGUAAGAGUGUACUCCUCUUACUGUGAAUAUGGGUUUCUUAAUCAUUUUGUCAUAAAAGGAAUUCAACAGAGCUGCCCGUUCCAGGAAAUAAUUCACUGUCAGCGAAAACUGAAUUCCCUAAAAAUACAUUACACAAUGUCGACUUUGUUUGCUGCAUUACAUACUGGUUAAUGUGUAACUGUAAACAGUACAAAGCCUCAGGGUUUAAAGAGUGAAGCCAAUGUAGAAGUAACUUAGCUUGUGUUCUUUUUAAUAGUCACCAGGGGGCGAUACAGGUACAAAAAUAAUUCUAAUCCUAUAUACAUUUAAGGGAAAAUGUCUCUUUCUUGACCUCUUUAAACACUUUCCUGUUGAGUUUAUGGACUUAGUCACUCAUUUGAAUUAAAAACUUAAGUAAACAUUUGUCAUACCAAGUUCCAGAAAGGAGGAUUAGCCAAGGUGUGCUUGCUGACUAACAACUUGUGAGCUAUAAUUCAUUAGCCAGUGAUUUUUGUUUUGUAACAUUACUGCAAAAAUAUUGUUUUACAGUAGCAUUAUGAAUUUUAAAACCUUAAGCAGAGGACAUUAAUACUGUGCAACCAAAUUUUCUUUGAAGGGUUUAUAUUAAAAGUGAACAGCUAGAUAGCUAGCUUAGUUAGCAAGGUAUGCUAACUAAGCUAGCUAGCGCAAGCGGAUCAGCUCCAGUCCAAUUAUGUUCUUCAGCAACCAGUGCAAAUUUUGAUUUAAUUCUAGUCAUAAGUCUAAAGUCAUAGUCAGUUUUAAUCGAAUAAAUCUCAUAAAAUUAUAAUAAAUAUUAAAUCUAAAGGUGAUUCAGUUGAUUAAAAUAUGAAGCGUAAAAGUGUGGCGUAGUUUGGUGUCCUACUUUUAUUGACAUCAAAUGUGUCCAUAUGUCUGCUCUUGUCUUUGUCCAAAGCACUAACAUUUUGUCACAUUUUAAUAAGAAACAGGGAGAUUUCUGAGUUCUGUUUCCAAAAAAAAGCUGUACCGUUGCCCGAGGGCUGAUCGAUUGUUAGCAUCUAACCACUGGAUCGCUGCCAAACACGUUCUGCCUUUCUACAACUUAAUUAUUUGUCUUUGGAUCUCAUCUCUCCAGAAUAUUUUCAUCUCGUUCCUAUUCGCAGACGUAAGCAUCAGUAAAAUUAUUUCUCUCAAUGAAAAAGGUCGUUGAGAGAAAUUACUUGACAAUGAAAUUAACACUGAUGGAAAAUUGAACUU
Haplochromis burtoni (Burton's mouthbrooder) is the source of this 2104-nucleotide long non-coding RNA. RefSeq lists it as uncharacterized. Lineage: Eukaryota; Metazoa; Chordata; Actinopteri; Cichliformes; Cichlidae. The record is from RefSeq and is a predicted model, not a curated record. The transcript is spliced from 2 exons.